UAUCAUCUAGAAUCAUAAUCUACUAGCUGUAGAGCUAGAAAAGACCCCAGAGCCCAUCUAAUCCAACACCCUUAUUUGGACAGAGGAGGGAACUUGAAGCUCAGAUAAAGGAAGUGACUUGCCUCACAUCAGCGCAGUGUUCCUGGUCUAUGGCUCAUUUUUCAUCCUUCCCAACUCCCCUCAGGAGAGAAAU
Phascolarctos cinereus (koala) is the source of this 193-nucleotide non-coding RNA. The record is from RefSeq and is a predicted model, not a curated record. NCBI's taxonomy places the organism in Eukaryota, Metazoa, Chordata, Mammalia, Diprotodontia, Phascolarctidae.